AUUGAACGCUGGCGGCAGGCCUAACACAUGCAAGUCGAACGGUAACAGGAAACAGCUUGCUGUUUCGCUGACGAGUGGCGGACGGGUGAGUAAUGUCUGGGUAACUGCCUGAUGGAGGGGGAUAACUACUGGAAACGGUAGCUAAUACCGCAUAACGUCGCAAUACCAAAGAGGGGGACCUUCGGGCCUCUUGCCAUCGGAUGUGCCCAGAUGGGAUUAGCUAGUAGGUGGGGUAACGGCUCACCUAGGCGACGAUCCCUAGCUGGUCUGAGAGGAUGACCAGCCACACUGGAACUGAGACACGGUCCAGACUCCUACGGGAGGCAGCAGUGGGGAAUAUUGCACAAGGGGCGCAAGCCUGAUGCAGCCAUGUCGCGUGUAUGAAGAAGGCCUUCGGGUUGUAAAGUACUUUCAGCGGGGAGGAAGGGAGUAAAGUUAAUACCCUUGCUCAUUGACGUUACCCGCAGAAGAAGCACCGGCUAACUCCGUGCCAGCCGCCGCCGUAA
Molecule: ribosomal RNA, 506 nt
Filed under: uncultured bacterium
Lineage: Bacteria
Description: partial 16S ribosomal RNA
Rfam family: Bacterial small subunit ribosomal RNA
Source: RNAcentral